CUCAAUGGCGGGCCGGGCGGGGGCACCGUAAGGUGCGCCGGGGUCCAACAAGGCCGGUUAUGCCAACCCUGUUCGGUUCCGCCACCCGU
This is a non-coding RNA of Mangrovibacter sp. MFB070, 89 nucleotides long. The record is from Rfam. NCBI's taxonomy places the organism in Bacteria, Pseudomonadati, Pseudomonadota, Gammaproteobacteria, Enterobacterales, Enterobacteriaceae.